Arvicola amphibius (Eurasian water vole) is the source of this 2238-nucleotide long non-coding RNA. RefSeq lists it as uncharacterized. The transcript is spliced from 3 exons. Lineage: Eukaryota; Metazoa; Chordata; Mammalia; Rodentia; Cricetidae. The record is from RefSeq and is a predicted model, not a curated record.
UCAUUUCUCCCCAGCUCAUGAUGCAUCUUUCAAUGCAGACUUUCCUUCUGACCCUCCAUAUUCAAUCCACCUGUGGGCUCUAACAUUAGACACAUCCAUAACUUGACCCGUUUGCACCACAUUCUCCAUUACCAUCUGGAUCCCAGCCACUAUCUUAUGCUUGGGUCACUGUGCAAGUUCCUAGAGGACCUCCUUGCUUCUGGUCCCUUCUGUUCACUUUAAUUUAACAGGUAAUCCUGUUGAGACACAUCAGAUCAUGUCCUUCCUUUGGUAAAACCCUCUAAUAGGGUUUUCUUUUGCCACAGAAAAGCCAACGUUAUAAGACAGCCCCAAAGAAUCUCAACUAGGGCUCCAUCUCCUUGGCCACCCUGGUCUCAUUUCCCCUUCUUGCGAUUCCCUCUGUCCCAGGCCCACUGGCCACCACCCUGUUCCCUGAGCAUCACGAGGACACCCCAAUAGCAUCCCCCUCUGAUAUGCUGCCCCUCAUCCUGGAAUGUUCUGUUCCCCAGAUAUUCCCCAUGCCCUUCAAGUCUUUCCCUGUAUUACCAAUCUGGACAUGUUUGAAGGUCCUGUUCACAAUGAAAUGCCUUCACACCCCAGCCAGCACUCCUGCUACCCUAUCUACGUUAUUUUCCUGAGAUACAGCACACUUGGUUAACCUCAUUUGUUCCCAUUCCCCUCCUCAACUGGAGGAAGGCAUUAGCUUUGUCCAUUUUCUAAUCUAUCCACAGUGCGUGACACAUGAGUAGGUUUCCUUUAAGGACUGGUAAAUGUGAGAGGAGAUCAACCCUGACCUACAGGUCACAACAAGUGAUGAAAAUUUCCUUGAAGGCCCUGAUGGACAGGGAGAAUGGACAGAGAAGAAACAACAGAUCAAAGUUCUUGGACGGACAGAGUGAGCCGGACUACAGGCCCUCACAGUAGACAUAUGCUAGCUGUGCUGAUUCUUCUGCCUUACCUCCCAAGUGCUCUGAUUAAAGGCACAUGCCAUGAACUGCACCAGCUUGGGCACCUGUGUAUUUUUCUGAAGCUUACUGAGUUGUACAUCAAGCCGUAGUACCGCAAUGGCGCAGGCAGAAUUCCCGUCUAAUAAACCCUGCUGCUGCUGUCAUGGGACCCAUCACUACUCAGCCCUUAGCUGAGGACCUCAUAGAAGUCUGAGCCUCUCUCUGGGGAGCGUCAACUACUUCUGUGUUCUAAAGCCACAGUAUACCUGGUGAUGCCCAGUCCAUAGUGGUGCCCAUUCCCAGCUGAUGCCUAUCCAAUGCUGGGCAUCUAGAUUGUAUCUUUUGUAUCUGGACAGCCCAUAGGUGCUUUGUAGUAAAACCAAACCAAACCGAACUCACCUUCCUUCCCCCAACUCUGGAUCCACACAUGGCACAGGCACCCUGUUAUCCCAUUCUGCCACUCGGCAUACAAAUCUGGGACUAGCCGAUAGUCUCCUCUCACAUUUCAUCAAUGCCUAACUUCUACCAGUUUCCCCUCAGAGCUUUUACACAUUUUCUUCACCUCUGCUGAAUACCAGAAUCUGGAAAACAACCCCGUGCUCAGGCUACGCCAGGACUCAGAAGUUCUUUAGAGCGUUUUUUGUCAUCCCACAGAGUCAACCUAGAGGGCUGUUGCAGCCGGCCAUCUCCAGAGCCUCUACUCUCGCAGCUCCCCUCACAGCCCCACCCUGCAAUGCUGAGGGCUUGUGACCACACCUGCCUCCGGUCAGGCUUACUCCUGCUUAUCUCAUGGGGCUGCAGCUGCUGCCUCCACCUAGCAAGUCUUCCCUGCCCACCAUUCUAAGGUCCAGUAGGAUUUCUCCUCUUCUCUCCUCGAAAUGCAGGGGGAAAAAAAUCUGCCACUGUGCUCAAACUCUUAAAUUAUGUGCUUCUGCCCUCACCCCAUGACAGUGCCAUGCUAUGACAUCCCCACUCUCAUUUGCUAUCACCUGCACCUGGUAUUCUGCUUGACCUCAUGCAAAUAAAUACUCAACACAUACUUGCAGGACAGCUUUGCAGAGAAAGAAUUUGGAAAAGAUGGUGUUUAUGCUAAAUUACAUUUGGAUACAUUAUUUUUAUUUUCACCAACUUGGUUACCAAAUGUAGUUCUCUGCUAUGGAGAGGUCCAGUACAUGAGAAACUGCUGCAGGUUCUUUACUGGCCUCCUAUUUUACACUAAAAUGUCUCCUAAGAUUCUUUCAAUAGUUUAAAAAAUUGUGGAAAAAAACUAUAAAUAAAAUAUUCUGCUAGG